GACGAACGCUGGCGGCGUGCCUAAUACAUGCAAGUAGAACGCUGAGGACAGGUGCUUGCACUAGUCUAAGGAGUUGCGAACGGGUGAGUAACGCGUAGGUAACCUACCUGAUAGCGGGGGAUAACUAUUGGAAACGAUAGCUAAUACCGCAUAAAAGUGCUUAACACAUGUUAAGAACUUAAAAGGGGCAACUGCUCCACUAUGAGAUGGACCUGGGUUGUAUUAGCUAGUUGGUGAGGUAAAGGCUCACCAAGGCGACGAUACAUAGCCGACCUGAGAGGGUGAUCGGCCACACUGGGACUGAGACACGGCCCAGACUCCUACGGGAGGCAGCAGUAGGGAAUCUUCGGCAAUGGGGGGAACCCUGACCGAGCAACGCCGCGUGAGUGAAGAAGGUUUUCGGAUCGUAAAGCUCUGUUGUUAGAGAAGAACGGUAAUGGGAGUGGAAAACCCAUUAUGUGACGGUAACUAACCAGAAAGGGACGGCUAACUACGUGCCAGCCGCCGCCG
This 510-nucleotide ribosomal RNA is filed under the name uncultured bacterium. RNAcentral's name for it is "bacterial SSU rRNA". It matches the Rfam family "Bacterial small subunit ribosomal RNA", at positions 28 to 520 of the family's 1533-position model. The record is from RNAcentral.